AAGACUGUGGGCUUGAGCGAGCAG
This 24-nucleotide non-coding RNA is filed under the name Cricetulus griseus (Chinese hamster). The record is from RNAcentral. Lineage: Eukaryota; Metazoa; Chordata; Mammalia; Rodentia; Cricetidae.